UACGGAGGGUGCAAGCGUUAUCCGGAUUCACUGGGUUUAAAGGGUGCGUAGGUGGGAAUGUAAGUCAGUGGUGAAAUCUUUGAGCUUAACUCAGAAACUGCCAUUGAUACUAUGUUUCUUGAAUUUUCCGGAGGUUAGCGGAAUAUGUCAUGUAGCGGUGAAAUGCUUAGAUAUGACAUAGAACACCAAUUGCGAAGGCAGCUAACUACAGGGAUAUUGACACUGAGGCGCGAAAGCGUGGGGAGCAAACAGG
Molecule: ribosomal RNA, 253 nt
Filed under: uncultured bacterium
Lineage: Bacteria
Description: partial 16S ribosomal RNA
Rfam family: Bacterial small subunit ribosomal RNA
Source: RNAcentral